GGUUUUAGCCUUUAGGUGAAAUCCGUGCUGCAAUGCCACUUUACUGCUUUCACAUUCCACCCACAACUCUAAACCCUAGUCAUUUCCACCAAAAAUCCCACAAAGUCCUCGGCACCCACAAUGAGAAAAGGGUUUUGGCCAGCCGGAAAAUUUCCCAUGCUGCUCAUUCGAGAAUUUCACCUCUCUGGACUGUGGAUGAGAUUGCAGAAGCUGUAAAUGGCACAAUUGUACAACGGGGUCCUCCAGGACCCAUUUGUACGGAUACCAGAACCCUUGAACCAGGCCAAUGGUUCUUCGCGAUCAGGGGCGAAAAUUUUGAUGCCCAUGAGUUCAUAACACCCGAAUUGGGCCAUAAAGGCUGUGUUGGAGUGAUUGGAAACUGGGUUUGCCCGAAUUGGGACAAGGGCUUUGUGGAAAUGGGUGGUGACACCCUAACUUCAUUGGAGAAGAUGGCCAAUUAUGCAAGGAAUAAGUUUCACGGCUGUUUGGUUGGGGUAACAGGAAGUGCGGGGAAGACUACUACAAGAACCAUGAUAGCAUUGACUCUUGAAAGCCUAGGCCUGGUUCACCAAACUCAUGGGAAUGAGAAUAAUAGAAUUGGAGUCUGUUUGUCGUUAAUUGGGAUUCCUCAGAAUGUGGGGUUUGUAGUUUUGGAGUUGGGAAUGGAUAGAAGAGGAGAGAUUAUGGAGCUUGCAAGAAUGGCUCGGCCAUCCAUAAGAGUGAUUUUGAAUGUGGGGUGUGCUCAUUUGGAGAAUUUUGCAAGUUUAGAGGAGGUUGCAAUGGCAAAAGGGGAGAUUUUGGCAGAAGCCAAGCCAGGGGAUGUGUGUGUUCUGAAUGCAGAUGAUCCUCUUGUUAUGAGCCUUCCUGUUCCUCAUGGUGUCAAAAAGGUGCUAUUUGGUCAGAGGUUAGAGUGUGAUGUUCGGUUUGCAGCAGAAAAAGUGCAUGGGGGUCAUGGAGUUCGAGUGGUCCUAGAGAGAAAUCAUGAAAAGGUGGAAUUUGUGAUUCCCAGCCCAGGUCUGCAUUUGGCUCAGAAUGCAUGUGCGACUGCUGCAGUGGCAGUUGCAUUGGGGGUUUCUCUUCCUCAAGUUGGAAUAUCAUUGUCGAGAUUUAUUCCUGUUAGCAUGAGAUCAGAGCUUGAAGUUGCAAAAACUGGCAUCAAAAUUAUCAAUGAUGUUUACAAUGCCAACCCUGUUAGCACCAAGGCUGCCAUUGAAUUACUGAAAAACAUUGAUUGCAAAGGAAAAAGAGUUGCAAUUCUUGGCGAUAUGCUAGAACUUGGUCAAGCAGAGACACUGUCUCAUGAGAUGAUGCUAAGCCUUUGUUGUGAUUCCCAUUUUGAUCUAAUUGCUCUUGUUGGAAAGCGGUUCCUUAGAGCAGCUGAGAAUUUAAAUCUAGUUGGGGAAAGAAAUUUGUUAUAUUCACCUGAUGCGGAAAGCUUGGCAUUUGAAAUUGUGCAAAGGUUAAAUAGAAAUGACGUUAUUUUGGUGAAGGGCAGUCGGGGAAUGCAAAUGGAAAAAGUUGUAGCUGCAAUAAAGGCCAUGAAUCUAGGCUUUCCACAUGAAUAGUAAGGGGAUAGGAAUCAACUCAAUUUAGAAUUUUUUUUGUGCAAAACAAAGCUGUCACACAAGAUGACUAACUGGAAACCUCAGUUGUUACAUUAAAACUACUAUGCUAUGUUUUAUAAAAUGACUACUUUGUCUAACAACAUUUACAUGGAAAGGCAGAUUUAUGGGCUUUGUCGAACCAUAUCAAUCUUGAGAGUAAUUCAGAAGUUUGUC
This is an RNA transcript of Vitis riparia (riverbank grape), 1778 nucleotides long. It is a transcript of the gene named UDP-N-acetylmuramoyl-tripeptide--D-alanyl-D-alanine ligase-like, with no coding region annotated. Lineage: Eukaryota; Viridiplantae; Streptophyta; Magnoliopsida; Vitales; Vitaceae. The transcript has 5 exons. The record is from RefSeq and is a predicted model, not a curated record.